UUUAAAACAAGGUACGUGAGGGAAAGUUGCAAAGAACUUAGAUGGGAGCAUGCGUCAAUAGGACGUGAAACCGCUUGGAUGUAAACAGACGGAGUUGAAUUAAAGUCUGUCCGUAUUCAGCUUGCUUGAAAACGAACGGCCGUGAAGUCGGACUGCAAGGACGGCUAGCGGUUGGGCGCUGAUAGUGAGUGCACUUACGGAUAGGCUACGUCACGACCGUUGAGGAUGCCAGAGUGUUUCGGAGAUUGCUGGCUGCCUUGUGCAGACUCUCGUCUCUCUAACUGAGCUGGUCAUAAUCAACGGACAACCAACGCGUCGGCUUCGCUCGACGGUCGGUGUUGGCGAUCGACUGCCCCGUCGGUCUGUGCUUGCACGGACUGGCAAACCUCGGUCGUUACUUAUCCGGCUGUUCGACUUGACGCUAAUGGUCUGUGACGUCCGUGUCAACGUCCCGUCUGACCCGUCUUGAAACACGGACCAAGGAGUCUAACAUGUACGCAAGUCAUUGGGUGGCAAACCCAAAGGCGCAAUGAAAGUGAAGGUCAGUUCCGCUGAUCGAGGUAGGAUCCUUGGUUAAACCAGGGCGCACUACCGUCCCAUCGCAUUUGCUCGUCAAGGCGGUGGAGAUUGAGCGUACACGUUAGGACCCGAAAGAUGGUGAACUAUGCCUGAGUAGAACGAAGCCAGAGGAAACUCUGGUGGAAGUUCGUAGCGGUUCUGACGUGCAAAUCGAUCGUCAAACUUGGGUACCUAGGGGCUAAAGAGCUAAUCGAACCAUCUAGUAGCUGGCUCUUUUUCCACAAA
RNAcentral lists this ribosomal RNA (804 nucleotides) under Neotobrilus nicsmolae. RNAcentral's name for it is "LSU rRNA". It matches the Rfam family "Eukaryotic large subunit ribosomal RNA", at positions 338 to 977 of the family's 3401-position model. The record is from RNAcentral. Lineage: Eukaryota; Metazoa; Nematoda; Enoplea; Triplonchida; Tobrilidae.